CUAUAUAUAAAAGAUUGAUUUCUUUGUAGUUUUGCAUAUCCUCAUCCAUUUUCUGUCAUAUGCUACCACAAUGGUCUCAAGGAAGAUUGACAUGUUUUGUAUGAUUACUAUCUCUAUCAUUUUGUUUUUCAUGUGUUAUUUUUGGACAAUAAUAAAUCUUUGUUAAGAUUUAAGACAAUAAUAAAUCUUAUUUUAUUAUUUUUGGACUUAAUUUGUCAACAAAAUUAAUUGGGAUUGUAUACGAUUUCCAUAUGUUUGAAUGUUUUCCUCCUCUGUCAAUUUUAGUGACAUUUCUUUUGAAGAGCUGUUUUCUACCUUACCCCUUCAAUUGUUUGUAGCUUUUAAAUAUGGUUAGUAUAUCCUGCUUCUGCAUAAUUGCUAAAGUUGAAUCUUUUAUCCAAACUUUGUAUCAUUAUUUUUACUUGCUUUAAAAUGGUAUGAGAUUUCUGUUAGCUUUUCCAACCUAUGUUUCCUUGACCCCUUUGUUUUUCUAAUGAUAUGAUCAACUGGAGUUACUUCUUAUUCAUGAACUUUUUAUCUAUGUGGACAAUUUUAUGCUGGAUAAUUGGAGUGUGGCAUGGACAAGGAAGGUGGAGAUAAAGAAUGCUCGCUAGAUUGAUGAAAUAUUUGAUGCAAUAAGUUAUAGAAAAGGUGCAUCUGUUAUCAGGAUGCUGCAAAGCUAUCUUGGUGCUCAAUGCUUUCAGGUGACUGUUAUCGGCAAUAUGGUAAAGGUUUAGGCUCAGUGCCAUUUUCUCCUAAAUCAAUUGCUAAACGAGGUUUAGUGAGAGGUAUUCAUCAACAUAGUGUAUGUGCAGUGAGUGUGCAAAAGCUUUGCUGUUACAAUCAGAUAAAUACCCUAUAUGCCGCCAAGCUAUCGAGGAGCUUAUAGAGAUCAAGAUAAACAAUGGCGACGACCAAUGACAUCUUUUGCCCUGAAGCCAAGCUGAAUUAAGUGCAUAGUUUUGUUUUUUAUGUUAUAUUCACUUUAUGUAAAUUGCAGUCAAUAAUCUGUUUAUAGCUUAUAUGUAUUGUUAUUAUAAUCAAUAGACAAAUAGAUUCUAUGUCGUUAUCCUGUUGCUGAAUGUUACUCCUGCUCAUUUAAAUUGUAUAGGUGAUUGUUUUGUUUUGGUCUGUGUGUGAUAUUUAAGAGAGGAUCAUUAUUCAUUUGUAUUGUGUAGAUCUGAUUUGAUCACUGGAUGACUUCUUUGUAAUGUAUCUUGAAGGUGAAGGUUCCUUUAC
This is a long non-coding RNA of Trifolium pratense (red clover), 1239 nucleotides long. RefSeq lists it as uncharacterized. The transcript has 3 exons. The record is from RefSeq and is a predicted model, not a curated record. NCBI's taxonomy places the organism in Eukaryota, Viridiplantae, Streptophyta, Magnoliopsida, Fabales, Fabaceae.